AUCGACAAACCCUCGUUGCUCGGUUCCCAUCCUAGAUAAAGUCCGACUGUGUCGCCGAGCAAGGAAUGACUGGGGCUCUUGACUAUCGUCUGAACGCCUACUCUCCGGUAUCGAUCUCGUUGCCGGCGGCCGGAGCAAGAAGGCCAGCUGCAUCGCCCCCAAAUCCGAUGAUGUCUACCUCAAUCUCCUCGUGAUGGUUUCUGGUGCGGAGGACCGGGAACAAGUUCAACACAGUGAUCCUGAAGCGGCUGUUCAUGAGCAAAAUCAACCGGCCGCCCAUCUCCCUCAAGAGUUUCAUCACUUUCAUGCAAGGAAAGGAUCAAUCUUUUUUCUUCGUUCUUAUUCUUUGCCAAGUAUUCUUCAUAUCUUUCUAGGCUCGAGCCGCAUUAAUGUUCCGGUUGGAAUUAGGACGACAAGAUAAGCCGUUGGGACUGUGACGGAUGAUAAGAGAGUGUCCGAUGUGCCGGCAUUGAACGUGACGGCUUUGAAGUUCACGGAGACGGCUAGGGCAAGGAUCCUGAAGUCUGGAGGGGAGUGCUUGACCUUCGAUCAGCUCGCCCUCCGAGCUCCUCUUGGGCAGAACAUGGUUCUCUUGAGAGGCCCAAAGAAUGCCUGCGAAGUUGUUAAACACUAUUGGUAAAGCUCCUGGUGUGCCGCACAGCCAUACAAAGCCUUACGUACCCUCUAAGGGGAGGAAGGGCCAGAGGAAGAAGAAACAGCAGUGGGUUCAGCGUCCGAGUCAGUUGAGCUGUUCUUGAGCAAUAACAGUUCAGUCAAUUAGGGUUUACUUUUACUGUCGUGUGUUGUAGAAUUGGGGGAUGCAGCAACUGAGGAUCUCAAGGAUUUCUUACUUGUUUCGGGUUUCCAUCUGAAUCAUGGACAUUCAGGUCCAUUCGAUUCCAAUCAAGGUGCAUGUUUUCUUGGUACCAGUGGAGGUGAGUUGCUGUGCUUUCAGUUCUCACCGAUAUAUACAUCUUUUGUCAGAUGACAGAAUUCAUGACUCACCUAUAUAUACAUCUUUUGGUGAUCUGCAA
Molecule: long non-coding RNA, 1034 nt
Organism: Musa acuminata AAA Group (dessert banana)
Lineage: Eukaryota; Viridiplantae; Streptophyta; Magnoliopsida; Zingiberales; Musaceae
Exons: 4
Source: RefSeq, a predicted model, not a curated record